This is a long non-coding RNA of Acipenser ruthenus (sterlet), 2375 nucleotides long. RefSeq lists it as uncharacterized. Lineage: Eukaryota; Metazoa; Chordata; Actinopteri; Acipenseriformes; Acipenseridae. The transcript has 4 exons. The record is from RefSeq and is a predicted model, not a curated record.
AAAUAAAUAAAAAUCUGUGUUGAAGUAUUUGUGUUGGGGUUGUUCAUUUUAAAUGCAGUGUGUUUACAAUUACCAGUUCUAGAUUAAACAGCAGAAAUAAUUUUACGGGCUUGCCAGACCCAAGAGCCUUUUCAUUUCACAGGCUAGCAGCCCCUGGCCUUAAAAAAAGAAAUGCUGCUGCUGUUCUCCUAGGUUCUGCUUUUAUAAGCUGGCAUCUCUGCAUUGUUAACGAGCUUAUUUUUAUCAGAGCGAUGUCAUUUUUCACAGUUUUGGUCGCUCAGCUUUCACGGGCAGUUUCUCUUCCCAAGCUCCAGAGGUUCACAGUGAAAACUGCGAACGCUAUCUUCACAAACAGCGACAGACGGGCCAAUCGGGGCAGGGACGUCGCAAACGCGCUCGAGUCAUGCGGAGCCGGCGCCACGGAGGCGCUCGGCUCCCUCCAGUGGACACGCAGCGGUACUGCAGUCGGGAGGCGCUGGAAGAUUAUUUGAUGAAUUCCUUACCGAUGCGGCUAUCUCGUGGAGAGAAAGUGGAACGGUUACGUCAUGUCCUAAACAAUCUGAUUGGAUAAAAGACAAGUCACAUAUUAAAUGACUUCUGAUUGGCGAACGCAGUUAGCGAAUCAAAAGUUAGAAAUGCGUUACCUAAUUUGUAUAGACCCUAUAGCUGUCCAAGGUGCGCACCUGUUUAAAAAUAUACAUUUAUUAUUAAUAAAACAUUUUUUAGUACACGUGUCCACGUCAGUAUUUUAAUAAUAUUAUAUUUUCAUGCUUCUAGUGAAGAAUUGUUUUACUGUCAGUCAUAUUUUAAAACGGGAGGUUUCGAAAUAACCAAAGAAAACAACGAUUCUAAACCGGAACGUGCGUGAAGGAAUCAACUGUAGUUCUCUUUUAUAGCGGUUUAAAAUGUAUCUGAAAGUAUAUACGGGUGUUUGCAAUAAUUUAAUCACAGACGUAGAAAUAUAACCAAGAUUCACGACGACCAUUGUAUUGAUAGAGCAGUUGUUUAAAUAAAAGAGCAGCGUCAGUUUUGGAAAUGUCACAUUUUAUAUUUGUGUCAGUUUUUAGUUAAGUGUAUGGAAAACUACAAGCGGCGUGUAUUUCAGUAUGCUAACGUGACGUUUUUCAGCAGGUUUCAUUUGAUUUUAUGAAGCAGAAUUAGUUAACACUCAAUUCAACCCCUCGACAGCAGUUCUACCAAAUGUCCACACGAGGGCAGCAUUGGAUAGGAAAUGAAAGCUAAAGCCUCGUCUGUCUCCCUGAAGUUCGCUACCAAUUGUAAAGAGCAGAGGACAGCUCAGCCGGAGGCGUGUGUCUGUGUGAAACGACUGUAUUUCAUGUGAUAAGUUUGUGGAAGAAGGACGCCAUGUGAGGAGGCGUUUGCUAUUGUUUUACACAGACUACGAGGGACAGCGCUCGUUAAACCAGGUCUGUGAGGAUGAGAAGGUCUCCACAGUCUGGAGUCUGGUCUCUGACAGGCUCAACAUACCUGUCAAUCAACAGGGACUCCUCUACAAAGGCAAGGCGCUGGCAGAUGAGCACAGACUGUCACAUGACUCCAUCGCUCCCGAUUCCAAGCUGAACUCGUUGUGACGCCCCCAACAGAGAAAGUGUCACCCGAGCAAGAACAGCACUCCGUGUCACCCCUCCUCUCAGACCUCACCCCUCACCCUCGCCUCACCCCUCCUGUCACACCUCACCCCUCGCCACACCCCUCCUCUCACACCUCACCCCUCCUCUCACCCCUCGCCUCAACCCUCCUGUCACCCCUCGCCCCUCCUCUCACCCCUCGCCUAACCCCUCCUCUCAUGCCUCGCCUCACCCCGGGUCAGUGUGGCACAGCCUGCCUGCUCUUCUGAACAAACACUUCAGCCCUGCCGACGCAGUGAGAGUCUGGAGCAGCAACACAAGGAUUACGAGCGGAGGCUGCGCUUAUUGAGCCUGGAUGAUAUGGAGCGGCUGGCGACCUGCAUGCUUCACCCUGAGGCAAUGGGGAGUGCAUGGAGCUGUCCUUCCUGGACUGAGCAAUACUGCUGCUGCCCUCUCCACCUCUCCCCUCUCUCCUCCCCCUCUCCUUACUUUGUUUAAAAGAAUAGAAGCACACCCAGUGAGCAAGGUAUUGAGCAGCCCCACAUCCCGCUUCACAAUACCGCUACAUAUUGACUGACUGUUCGCAUUGUGUGUGUUUGGUAAGACAAACCACAUUUUCUCCUUUCUGCUAUUUUAAAAGGAGCCCAGUUUGGUGCAGGAGGCUUGUGGGUAACAGAGUGUGUUUUUGCUGGGGACUGCAGCCCUUCCAUUACCAUUGCUCGUAGAGGGGAGAUUGUUUUACUUUCAAGCCUUUUUCUUUAAUAAAUCCGGACGUUUGGAAAUACA